Long non-coding RNA from Homo sapiens (human), 1030 nucleotides. RefSeq lists it as uncharacterized. NCBI's taxonomy places the organism in Eukaryota, Metazoa, Chordata, Mammalia, Primates, Hominidae. The transcript is spliced from 2 exons. The record is from RefSeq and is a predicted model, not a curated record.
UUAGAUUUACUGAAGAGUUAGAAGGAUAACAGUGUUCUUGUAAACAUUCAUCUGGCUUCCCCAAAUGUUGACGUCUUACACAACCAUGGACUGCCAUGUAGAACAGAAGCAUCCCAUUUGGAGCACUGGUGACUGAGGAUUCUGGAAGAAGGAGGCCUGGGACCUUUAAUGCUAUUACCCACAAUUUCUCCACUGCCAUGGCAGAGAACCCACCCUCAUAUGGAAGCACUUCCCUUCUGUUCUUUUCAUUCCUUCUAUUAACCUUCUCCCCAUAGACCACCCACAGGCUGCCAGAGUUCCAAACUAUCUUCCCCAAACACAACACUCACCAUGGCCCUCCUCUGUGGGCUGUUCAUUGCAAACAGAAUUAAAUUCUACCUUUUAAUGAGGCUCAUUAAAUUCUACCUUUUAUUGGCUCAUACUGCUCCCUCCAUUUUCAUUUCUCACUAUCUUUCUCUUCAUAUCUAAAACUGGAGCCACACUGCAUUGUUUCUUCUUUAAAACACUCCUGCUACCCCAGGCCUCUGUGACUGUGCAUAGGAUGCCCUCUCCAGCUAGAAUGUCUUUCCACUUCUUUCUUCCCAUGGGCUUUUUCCUAUUUAUCCAUAGCACACCUGGGAUGUUAUCGUCUCUGUGAAAUCUUCCCUCCCUCCCUCAAACUCUAACCUCUGUGUUCCCACAGCAUCUUUCACCUAUUACACAAACCUCUGUUGUGGAACACAUUAUGUUGUUUCGAAACUUUUCUGUGUCGAUUUCUGCCUUUUUUGUUGGAGUGGGAGCUCUUCAAAAGCAGGCCCUGUCUUGUUUAUUUAUGUAGCUUCAGCAAAGGGCCUAGCACCUAACAAUGUUGCCAACAUUUUUCGAGUGCCUACUUUUUACUAGCACAACAAAUUACCUCACUAAAUCUAUAAAAGAACCCUAUAAAGGAGGUAUUUUUAAAUGCUCCCUAUUUUACAUAUGAGAAAACUGAAGCUCAUAGAGCAUAAUAGACUUUCCAAGGUGACACAGCCAAUAAAAUGUGGAGCCAGAA